This 69-nucleotide transfer RNA is filed under the name Pseudoromicia rendalli (Rendall's serotine). Its description in RNAcentral is "Neoromicia rendalli (Rendall's serotine) partial tRNA-Thr". The record is from RNAcentral. Lineage: Eukaryota; Metazoa; Chordata; Mammalia; Chiroptera; Vespertilionidae.
GUCUCUGUAGUAUAUUGAUUAUAUUGGUCUUGUAAACCAAAGAAGAGGAAAUAAGUUCCUCCAAAGACU